RNAcentral lists this ribosomal RNA (433 nucleotides) under uncultured bacterium. RNAcentral describes it as "partial 16S ribosomal RNA". It matches the Rfam family "Bacterial small subunit ribosomal RNA", at positions 29 to 507 of the family's 1533-position model. The record is from RNAcentral.
AACGAACGCUGGCGGCAUGCCUAACACAUGCAAGUCGAACGAGACCUUCGGGUCUAGUGGCGCACGGGUGCGUAACGCGUGGGAACCUGCCCUUAGGUUCGGAAUAACUCCCCGAAAGGGGUGCUAACACCGGAUAAUGUCUUCGGACCAAAGAUUUAUCGCCUUUGGAUGGGCCCGCGUUGGAUUAGCUAGUUGGUAGGGUAAAAGCCUACCAAGGCGACGAUCCAUAGCUGGUCUGAGAGGAUGAUCAGCCACACUGGGACUGAGACACGGCCCAGACUCCUACGGGAAGCAGCAGUGGGGAAUAUUGGACAAUGGGCGAAAGCCUGAUCCAGCAAUGCCGCGUGAGUGAUGAAGGCCUUAGGGUUGUAAAGCUCUUUUACCCGGGAUGAUAAUGACAGUACCGGGAGAAUAAGCUCCGGCUAACUCCGUG